AAAGAACGCAGGCGGCAUGCCUAACACAUGCAAGUCGAACGAGACCUUCGGGUGUAGUGGCGCACGGGUGCGUAACGCGAGGGAACCGGCCCUUAGGUUCGGAAUAACUCCCCGAAAGGGGUGCUAAUACCGGUGAAUGUCUUCGGACCAACGACUUAUCGCCCUGGGAUGGGCCCGCGUUCGAUGAGCUAGUUGGUAGGGUAAGAGCCUACCCAGGCGACGAUCCAUAGCUGGUCUGAGAGGAUGAUCAGCCACACUGUGACUGUGACACGGCCCAGACUCCUACGGGAUGCAGCAGUGGGGAAUCCUCGACACUGGGAGAAGGCCUCAUCCCGCAGUGCCACGUGAGCGAUGUACGCCUUAGCGUUGGAAAGCCUCUUUCCCCGGGAUCAUACUGCCAGUACCCGGAGAAUAAUCUCCGGCCACCUCCUUG
RNAcentral lists this ribosomal RNA (433 nucleotides) under uncultured bacterium. Its description in RNAcentral is "partial 16S ribosomal RNA". It matches the Rfam family "Bacterial small subunit ribosomal RNA", at positions 31 to 507 of the family's 1533-position model. The record is from RNAcentral.